This 495-nucleotide ribosomal RNA is filed under the name uncultured bacterium. RNAcentral describes it as "partial 16S ribosomal RNA". It matches the Rfam family "Bacterial small subunit ribosomal RNA", at positions 28 to 507 of the family's 1533-position model. The record is from RNAcentral.
GACGAACGCUGGCGGCGUGCCUAAUACAUGCAAGUAGAACGCUGAAGGAGGAGCUUGCUUCUCUGGAUGAGUUGCGAACGGGUGAGUAACGCGUAGGUAACCUGCCUGGUAGCGGGGGAUAACUAUUGGAAACGAUAGCUAAUACCGCAUAAUAGCAGUUGUUGCAUGACAACUGUUUGAAAGGUGCAAUUGCACCACUACCAGAUGGACCUGCGCUGUAUUAGCUAGUUGGUGGGGUAACGGCUCACCAAGGCGACGAUACAUAGCCGACCGGAGAGGGGGAUCGGCCACACUGGGACUGAGACACGGCCCAGACUCCUACGGGAGGCAGCAGUAGGGAAUCUUCGGCAAUGGACGGAAGUCUGACCGAGCAACGCCGCGUGAGUGAAGAAGGUUUUCGGAUCGUAAAGCUCGGUUGUAAGAGAAGAACGAGUGUGAGAGUGGAAAGUUCACACUGUGACGGUAUCUUACCAGAAAGGGACGGCUAACUACGUG